CGCUAAAACAUCGGUUCCCGUACGAUCACCGAAGUUAAGGAAUGUCGAGCCUGGUAAAUACUUAGAUGGGUGACCACUUUGAAAUAUCAGGUGCUGUAA
Non-coding RNA from Acanthosepion pharaonis, 99 nucleotides. The record is from the annotation of a GenBank genome assembly. Lineage: Eukaryota; Metazoa; Mollusca; Cephalopoda; Sepiida; Sepiidae.